CAGCGGCAGUGUGUAUAGACCGGGUUGACCACCCCCCGCCACCGUUCACGUUGGCACGCACGCGAGGACAUAGGUAGACAGACGGCCCUGAGUAGCAGAGGAGGAAGGGGUUAGCGGUAACAGCCACCACGUUCGUUCGCGCGGCUCCGCACACCCUCCCUGUACCGCCCCGCGAUGCUACCGCCGUUGGGAAAGCUCCUCCUCCUCCUGCACUUGGGAAAGAGCCUUGUUUGCGCUCCGUUUCGACCGCCCGUCAGGUUGAUACCGCCGCCGCCGCGCAAGAUGUACGGCUUAGGGUCUUUGCAACGGGGGAGGAGCUUAAGCGCCGAAAGCGGGGAAGGGGGCCUUGGACGUCUAAAGUCACGGUGUCACCUAUAGGGAGAACUCAGCAGUUUCCUGGACUUCUUUUCUCUUUUCCUCGACGUUCGCUCCCUUCGUCUCAACUUGUUCUCCCUCUUCCUUAACUUUUCUUCCCUCCUUCGACGUCGUGCUCGACCAUAACAGUAGCUCCUCUUUUUGACCGGAGGAAAAGACGGUGAGUAGGUGGUACUGUAACGGUUACUCUAUGGCUGAGUAGAAGUUUCUUACGUUAUGAAGCGUAAACGCAGUAAAGAACCAAACCAAAAGACAGAGAAGACCUUACAGCAUCGUCAAUGAAGUCGGACCUAGUUCCCCCUUCCACACUUUUAGACCAACGAUCGUUAUUAGAUGAAGUAGAGACCCCAAGGACCACGCAUACACAAUACCAUAGCGGGAGAAAUAUUACGAUACUCCUGACUGUCACGCAACUUCAAACCUAACAAAAAGAACGAGAUGAACAAAGUGUAGUAAAAGCAGCAUAAACGACGGCACCGAGGAGGACGACAGAAACUCCCGUUCAGAAACCGUCCUUAAAAUGGCCGCUAACUAGAAUAGUCGCACUUACGAGAUCAACCCUAGAAGAUGAAGUAACCUAAACCUAAUAAACGGGACCUCAGUAACGACUCGUAGACCCAAUAGGUCGUUCACAUGUACAUGAAGGCUCCUUCACCUUUCCGGCGUCUCUACUUCGCACUACGCUGCUCCCCGCGAUACUCUCGCCGUAAAACUAACGGUGUAUAGAGUCUACUACUAUCCAGAGUUCUAAUUAAGGUACCUAAUCUACCGUGCCAUUUCUUUUUAUAUACAUCGUUACAUUUGUAUAUAAAAAGAAAUAGCGGCCAUUCUUUUCACCUGUUCAGGAUGUUACAGUGAAGUAGUAUCGUCAUACUAUUGUGCCGCUAGUAUUGUUUUUGAAUGUCCAAGUAGCCUUUCAAACUGUUCCCUGAUCUAUCGAGCUCUCACCCUAAACGAAGAGGCUGCUACCUCUCUAUAAGAAUCCCGGGAGAGCCACACUGCCGUAGGUAGUGGCAGACUGGUCUGUGUCCACUGGAGCAAUGCCCCUACGGGUUUGUGUUAUUGCUCUUUCUUCUUGGUUUGACCAUUGCUCCUAUUACCAUAUCACUCGUACACUACUGACUCCUCCUAUAACUACGUAGGGCCAAAAACCCUUCAUAGCGUUUCGUUUCACAAUCAACCUUUCUGC
RNAcentral lists this ribosomal RNA (1564 nucleotides) under Triticum aestivum (bread wheat). RNAcentral's name for it is "partial small subunit ribosomal RNA". The record is from RNAcentral. Lineage: Eukaryota; Viridiplantae; Streptophyta; Magnoliopsida; Poales; Poaceae.